UGGGACUCCAGCCACCCUGACAUCACUACAGAGAUCAUCUGGAGCCCAAAUGACUUCCUUGUCUCCUGGCAGCUCACGUUGAAAGUUCUGAUCCUAUCUACCAGCCAGCUGCUCUGUUAUCCGGCCAGCAAGCAGCUCUGUCAUCCACAAGCUGCUCCCUCCACAUAAUCUGCCAACUGCAACAGGACAAAAUGCUCUUCCAUGGGAUGCCCUGUUACGCUCCAUUUUCAUCUCAGCAUUCCAGUCCUUUAGAUGCGUCUGCUGCAACAACAACUACUCGUCAGCCACCAGGCAGGCGGACUGAGGAGGAAGGAGGUACAAGGAUGAAUGAGAUGAAGACUCUGCCCACUAUCCAACCAGCUUACAUUCUAAUGGCUGCAGACAACUGCAAAAUGAGAGAACCGUGCUUCUGAGAGCAUCAGGCUUGUGCAAACAUCACUUCUGGAAGGAUCAUCGCGGAGGCUCAGGGAAGUGAGAAGGUGACUUGGAGUGGGGUCUCUACAGUUCGAGCAAGAGGCAUAAAGGCAAAGUGGCCUAUCCCAGGCGUCCAGAGGGA
Zalophus californianus (California sea lion) is the source of this 556-nucleotide long non-coding RNA. RefSeq lists it as uncharacterized. The transcript has 4 exons. NCBI's taxonomy places the organism in Eukaryota, Metazoa, Chordata, Mammalia, Carnivora, Otariidae. The record is from RefSeq and is a predicted model, not a curated record.